RNAcentral lists this long non-coding RNA (4860 nucleotides) under Triticum aestivum (bread wheat). Its description in RNAcentral is "long non-coding RNA (TAES_LNC005212)". The record is from RNAcentral. Lineage: Eukaryota; Viridiplantae; Streptophyta; Magnoliopsida; Poales; Poaceae.
AUGUAGUAUCUUACAACUAAGAAUGAAAAAGUUAGGGUAAGGACAACAUAACAAGUUGAAACACGGACGCAUCAAGAGUUUGGUAAAGCAAGACACCAUUUUAUUUCAGAUUGAGCCUCAUAAUGGAAUUUAAAAACUUCCAUGAAACUUGAGCAUUGUAUGCUCUUGUCCACGAAGAGAGAUAUAGCCUUAUAGCACCAGCAUGCCUGUCUAUGUUACUCCUCAAGCCAAACUAUAGAACUUUUAUCUGUCGACAACCUGUCCAAAGACACUGGCUAAUUACCCACAAACUGUCCAUUCCGCCACAAAUAUGCACAGGCAUGCAUCACCUUCCUCUUUGGUCUUCUCAUUCGCGUGAACAUCGUCGACAUUGCCCACCAUGCUUGCUCGCAUCUACUUGCUCCUUGUCAAGUACAUCCACGCUUCCAACUCUCACCUCAUCACCAUGCUCGUUGAUGCAUAUGUCAAGUCCAGCCUCGUCACACAUGUGGGUGUACAAUUUUCGUCUGACACAUGAAUGGCCAUUGCCACGCCCUUCCUUCUCGUUUGUUACGCCCCUACUAACCUCACCGCCGUGUGCGUCCUUAUCCUGAGAAAAAUACAUUCAGAACAUUAUAAAAAUCAUAAUAUUUGAACGUUUUUUUGAGUCAAUGGAAGAUGCGGUUCUGCACCUUCACUUCAUUAUCAGAGGAGUCAAAAUUUAGGAUUUAAUAUAGCUUUCAACAGGAAUAAUGUGUAUUAUAAUCAAGCAUGGGCUAGGUUAUCAAUGAGAAGCAUAAUACAGAAGCAAGCUAAAGCUACCCACUCUUAGGUUUAUAGUGUAUACUACACUACAUACUACAGAAGCAUAAUUUUGAGAUUAACGCUACAACUUUGUCAUGUAUCAGGGUAUCUUUGUUUUGAAAAGAACACAUCAUGUGUGGAAUGUGGCUGGUAACAUGUGCUCAUUGUUCAGGGUGUGUCGAGAUCUGCAAGUAUUAGCACAAGAAACUCUUCAGUUGUAACACAAUCUACCAAUGCCUGAAACAAAUAGAAUUAUUGAAAUGGCCUACCGUCAAAUUAUUACCCAGAGUAUAUAACUUAUUUUUCAAGUAAAUAAGAUCGCGUGUGAAAAGAGAUAUGUCCAAGCUAUGAUGAGAAGUUCAUACCAAUCAUGUACAUGAAAGCAUUGACUAUAGCCACUCCUGAAAUGUAGAUUAGAAAAAAAUAAUGCAGACCAAAAAAACAUGGUGAGCGAGUGAAAGACUGAACUUACCUUUACCAAGAUUUCCGCAUAUGCCAAACAAAUUCCAGCACUGACUUUUAUCCAAGCGCUGCUCUGGCUCUUUUCCUUCAUACGUAUCACCCUGCAAUGAAACAUAUCACAUUAAAAAUAAUUAGAGGUAUUCUGAAAAAUAAAAUGAUAGCAAUUAGUAUUAUUCAGUAAAUGAACAAUGAGAUUUCUGGAAAAUACAUUGUAGUAACAUAUUAACAUUUUUGUAGUACCAUAAGAACAUAUUAAAUUAGGCCAAGCUCUGGAAAACGCCCAUUCUUUUCAUGUUAUUAUUUAUAUAAUGGGAUUUCAAAAGAAGAGCGAGAGAGAAGGGAGCAUGAUGGAAUUAUUAGUAUGCCCAUGUUACAAGCACAUGCUUAUAGAAGAACAUGUUUCUGCAUCUAUCAUAGAUUUAUAGUAUGUCCUAGCUCUGUCGCUACAAAAUGUGGGUGCAUUAUAGUUAGCAUGGAAGAACACCGUCCGGUAACAUCACCAUGCCAAAAUGUGGGAUAACUGUCCUCUGUAAUCUUUUGGUGCUAAGAUUCAUUGCUCUAUCUAUUAUAUCUCGUAUUCUUCAUGUUCUUUGUGCCAUCAGUAGAGAAGGCAAAAUAAUUUCAAUAGUUCCAAACAUAAAAUCCUGAUGUUGCUCUCUUAUCAAGUUCAUCUGGAAUUUCUACCAAAAAAAUGUUCCCUGUUCAUAGAGAUGCUUGACACAAAUUGGUUUGAUUUAGUAUAACCAUCAGCGAGUGAGUGACGAAACUACAUGCUCUCAGCUCUCAGGUCCAUGUCAGAACUUGCAUGUUCCUACACAAAGCUGGGGCAGCAACACCUUCCCAAUGAGGAGUCGAGGCAAAUCUGUGACUGAUUGCGCCUCACAGACUCAAGGUUUCUGUAAACUGCUUAAAUUAUUCAGAGCAUGAUGACGGGGAUGAUAUCCCAUAUAUCUUUUGCGUACUGGUGUAUCAUACGGUCACUGCUGAACUUGGGGGAACCAGCUAUAUUGAGCAUGGACGUUUUUGUCCAAAGCCGCAGGUAGAGACGGAUAUGAUGUGAUUAGGAGGAUCAAACACUCUGAGUGACUAUCUACCAGUCUACCUGUCUAUGUGGAGAUAGUAAUGAAAUAGCAAACUAAAAAUGUUAAUCACACAUGAAACAGAGUGGAAAUAUCCACGAUAGCGGAAUAAUGUUCAGAAAUGAAAAACAGUUUUCUGAAGUUAUUUUUGGAUUGGAAUGCAUAGAACAACUUUCCUGAAGCUAGGUUCAUCAAAGCUCAUACGUCUGCCAGCCAACAUAUGAGUAAUUAUAGCACAUCUAGCACCUGCAUUCUCUGAUUGGCUAUGAUGUUCUUCCAACAUACUGAUAAACACUUCAGUGUGAAAUAAGAAAUAUUCCUAACAAUCAGUGAAGUCGUUCAUAGUGAAACACUGAUGUACCAUUGGGUAAAACUUGCAUAGAGGCAUAGGCAUAUAACUGUCAUAUUCAAAUGCAUUGAAACCUAACGAAUCUAAAUCUAACAAUGUCAUUCUUGUGAAAUAUCAUCCAAAAAUAGUUAAUAUAAUAAAGAAGAGAAGUAGACACACUGAGCAAAACAUGAGAAAUAUUUUGCUUUUCGUUAAUACAAUGAUCAAGAUACAAAUGCAAUGAUUAGAGGGGACACAAAAAAGGCCUUGGCAUUAACUCACAUGAAGUGAAAUAAAUAACAGGUUUGUGGUAACACUCCAAUCUGAUGCACAAGAACUCUGAAUAAAGCAUCACCAAAUCGAGAAAUACUUGGUUCUAUAGUCCCAUGCAGUUACAUUUCUAUACUUUCAAGUUUUUGGAUCAACGACACUAAAUAAACAGAGCAUCUAACAAAAAAACAUUAUGUUACAAAAGCAUUUCCCAUGUCUUCUGUUAUUAGGUCUAUACAGGAUAGUAUUAGGCCAAAAAAGUGAAAGAGUGUAAUGAGAAGGUCUAGCAAGAAUAUUGUAAUAAUUUCCUUUAAACUGCAGUUUUUUAAAAUGAGCUCAUUUACUGUUGGUUUGUCAUAUUUAGGUGUAGUCGAAAGAGAAUCCAACUCAAAAGCUAGCAAAGCUCCAUCCUGGAUACGACAGAGUACGGGCAUAUUUAAGCAUUGACUGCUUGAUCAAUUGUGGCUUGUUAAAUAUUAAUUGUACCUAGUUAAAUAGUAAUUGUCCCUACUUACAUGGUAUAAGGAACACUUUCUCAACAAAUGCAAUGCUUCGGUAACUACAAACCAUAAUGCUUCAGUAACCACACAGUUUUUCUCUGUUUAGUUGCAAGAACAGGGCGAGUAGAAACUUUUUUUUGCCUUCAUUACCUCGCAGAUUGAAAUAGAAAGUGAGGCACCCUGACUCGAUGUUCCUGAAGGCGCCCUCGCUAUGGCCUAGUUCACCCUUCUCAGGGCCAGGAGUAAAACCACAGCUUGCCUCCUCAAAAUACCAGCAGAACCAACUCAUCAGGCAUGCAAUCAGGAUAACAACAUAUCAUUCAGAGUUCAAACCAAGUAAACAAACAUAUGCAUCAGGCACUGGUGCAUCCAAAGUUUAACUCUAUUCUCCUCCCAUAUAAUGGAUGAGGCAAAUCUUUUGCCUUCGUUUCGGAAAAAAAAGUUUAACUAUAUCAAGAGCUAAAAACAAUUAGCAUGUCAUAUAUGGCAAUCUGUAAGAGAUAAAAUAAUAGCCAUAUAGAUACCAGACCUUACUCCCUUACAAGACAGUGUCAUAAAAAACUCUUAAAGCAACACCAGGAUCAAUUCACCACACCAAACCAGUCAUCAUGAACUGAUGAUACUCGGGGUAACUUGUCCAAAUGAAAAUAAAAUUAAACCAUGGUGGUUCAGUUUCAAAUAAAAAGUGCAUAUAUCAGUUCGAAGUGGACUCGCCACGCGUUGACUGAAAAAUAACUCAUGUGCCAAGAAACAUAAUCUUACAUCUGACUUUUAACAGUUUAGCUGACAGCAAAAUGGCUCAUUCAAAUCAAGCAACUAUCUAAGAUGCAACCUUUAUUUGCCAUCAAGCACUGAAGAGCUUGUUGUGCAUAGAUUGAUGCCCAGGAGAAACAGAGGGGGCUAAAAAACACACCUCUCAGGGCUUGUAGAUCUGGCCAUCUAUAAUUGUGAGGUGUGCUAUUAUGACCACCACAAUACCAUGGGUGGAAAAGCCACUUAAACUUUCAGUUUAGAACAAUACAUGAACGAGGCUUCUAACUUCUAAACUAUGCAUGCUUACAAAACUAAAAACCAUACAUGACCACAAGUUUGCUGCAACAAAUUCAAGAAGAAUUCACCACAGCAAACUGAACCUGAAAGAUAACCGAUAUAUAUAUAUAUAUAUAUAUAUAUGAUCCAUGUUGUAGGACACCGUACACAACAAAAAGGAAAUGAAGUACGUACUAUUAUGCAUCUGAACCAUAUUGACUACUGAUGUAACCUGUGUUGAUGAAUCUGAAAAGGCUACGACUUGCUCAGAAAUUCAAAGUGCGUCAUAACAAGCUUGAUGGUCAGCCGCACACACUCUCGAAGGCGACCAGGGAGAGGUUGAUGCAGGUGAUGCCACCGCCAGAAGCUCCAGCACAUGUCGCUAGUUGCCGCACCUGACCUCAAGGAU